Molecule: long non-coding RNA, 1328 nt
Organism: Aphis gossypii (cotton aphid)
Lineage: Eukaryota; Metazoa; Arthropoda; Insecta; Hemiptera; Aphididae
Exons: 5
Source: RefSeq, a predicted model, not a curated record
UUUGUUCAUUGUUGCAUCAAAUUGUCACAGACCACAGUUAAUAUCUCGCCGUCUGGCGAUUUAUACAUUAUAACUUUGUUAUAAGUUUAUUUAUAAAUACAUUUAUGCAUACAAUAUAUAGAAGUUUAUAAGUAUAAAUGAGUAAAACCAUUGAUUAUAAAAUAUAUAUACUAUUUUUAAUCAAUGGCUAGACGUAUGUGUUAUCGAACUCGUACAACUGGCUUGUUGGAAAUACCCAAAAUAAAUAAUAUUCAUUGACAAACUCCAAUGAGGAACGCACGACUUAAAUAUUUAAGGUAUCGGUCAGCGGGGAAACAUUGUCAGUUGUCAGUUGUCACUGUCCCUGCGCAGUUUCAUCACUUGUCACUCGUCAGUUAUAUCUUAUAUGCCAAAUUCAAAUUUCUGAUACCUACUCGGCGAUAUCUGUGCAUUGUCGUUGGUCGUUCUAUAUAAUUAAUAAUUGUGUACUAUUGCCCUAUAAAAAUAAAUUAACCAAUCUUUAUUCAAAGUUAUUUUUUCGACUACCUAAUUAUGUAGUGAUGAUGACAGUAUUACUCUACUGCAGUAUCGUAAACAAUAUUUCAAUGUUAUGUUUUUUAAUUUGCUUCACACUAUAAGCUGAAUAUUUUACAGUGUUUAAGUAAAAACAGUGUUAUAAAUUAUAAUCAUAAUCAAUUUCAUCAAAUAGGUGAUUUGAACUUUGAAGACCUGUCAAACAAAAAUUCAAUACGCAGUAGCGUUUUCCAACUAGUCGUCUUAAUUAAUCUAUUGCUCGAUAUAUUAAGAAACAAUAGUUUUUGGACAUACAUUGAAAAAAAUGGCCGUAAUAAUAGUGGAUUGAGCAUCAGUACACAACUUGAACUGAUAUAUUAUUGGUGUCAAGAUAUAAAACAGACUACAAUUAUUGCUUUAACCGGUAGAUCACAUCAUACAGUGUGUGACUGUAACGCUUUUCUGAGGGACAUGGCACAAUAGAGCGCAUACUGCAAUCGUAAUGCUGCCAGUAGAGCGCAUACGAGAAAAUAGCCUUACUUUGCUACUGAUUUGGAAACAUUAAAACUGGAUUUACAAAUGACAGCUUAAUGAAACACAUAAAGAAUUAAAUUAUGUAAGAAAUUAUCAGAAUUAAUCUAAAAUAUUAAAUGUUAACAACUUAAGAACAAUUUCUAUUUUAAUUGAAAGAGAUUUGAGAACACAUAAUGAAGAAAAAAAAACUAUUGUCUUAUCCACAGGUACUGUCAUAAUUGUUGAAUGAUUUUCUUUAAAACUCCAUAGCAAAAUCUAAUAAUUGGUUGACUUGUUUAAAGCUAAAAAUUUCUAAUACAAAA